AGGAGUACAGUAGGCAAAUCCGCUGUACAAUCCGAAGACGUGAUGCGGACCGAAUUAAGAGUAGGGAAGUGUGUGAGCCAUGCGUCAAGAAAAGCCGCUAUUGUUUUACUUAAGCCCGUACCGUAACCGACACAGGUGGAUGAGGAGAGAAUCCUAGGCCGACGGGAGAAGCAUUGUUAAGGAACUCGGCAAAAUGACUCCGUAACUUCGGGAGAAGGAGUGCCAGCGAGAGCUGGCCGCAGAGAAUUGGCCCAAGCAACUGUUUAGCAAAAACACAGGUCUAUGCAAAACCGUAAGGUGAAGUAUAUGGGCUGACGCCUGCCCGGUGCUGGAAGGUUAAGAGGAGAGGUUAGCGGCAACGCGAAGCUUUGAAUUUAAGCCCCAGUAAACGGCGGCCGUAACUAUAACGGUCCUAAGGUAGCGAAAUUCCUUGUCGGGUAAGUUCCGACCCGCACGAAAGGCGUAAUGAUUUGGGCACUGUCUCAACAAUGCACCCGGUGAAAUUGAAAUACCAGUGAAGAUGCUGGUUACCUGCGCCAGGACGGAAAGACCCCAUGGAGCUUUACUCCAGCUUGAUACUGGGAUUCGGUAUUGCAUGUACAGGAUAGGUGGGAGGCUAGGAAGUGAUAACGCCAGUUGUCACGGAGCCGCUGUUGGGAUACCACCCUUGCAGUAUUGGAUUUCUAACCAGCGACCAUGAACUGGUCGGGGGACAAUGUCAGGUGGGGAGUUUGACUGGGGCGGUCGCCUCCGAAAGGGUAUCGGAGGCGCUCAAAGGUUCCCUCAGAAUGGACGGAAACCAUUCGAAGAGUGCAAAGGCAGAAGGGAGCUUGACUGCGACACCGACGGGUGGAGCAGGUACGAAAGUAGGACUUAGUGAUCCGGUGGUAUAAAGUGGGAUUGCCAUCGCUCAACGGAUAAAAGCUACCCUGGGAUAACAGGCUUAUCACUCCCAAGAGUUCACAUCGACGGAGUGGUUUGGCACCUCGAUGUCGGCUCAUCGCAUCCUGGGGCUGAAGUAGGUCCCAAGGGUUGGGCUGUUCGCCCAUUAAAGCGGUACGCGAGCUGGGUUCAGAACGUCGUGAGACAGUUCGGUCCCUAUCCGGCGUGGGCGUAGGAUAUUUGAGAGGAGCUGUCCUUAGUACGAGAGGACCGGGAUGGACUGGCCGCUGGUGUAUCUGUUGCAUACCAAAUGCAUGGCAGAGUAGCCAAGCCGGGACGGGAUAAACGCUGAAGGCAUCUAAGCGUGAAGCCCCCCUCAAGAUGAGAUAUCCCUACGUAAGUAGUAAGACCCCUUGAAGACGACGAGGUAGAUAGGUCAGAGGUGGAAGUACAGUAAUGUAUGGAGCUGACUGAUACUAAUCGGUCGAGGGCAUGACC
RNAcentral lists this ribosomal RNA (1380 nucleotides) under metagenome. RNAcentral's name for it is "bacterial LSU rRNA". It matches the Rfam family "Bacterial large subunit ribosomal RNA", at positions 1523 to 2925 of the family's 2925-position model. The record is from RNAcentral.